GCUCUCACUUCAGCAGCACAUACACUAAAACUGGAACAAUACAGAGAAGAUUAGCAUGGCCCCUAUACAAGGAUAAAAAACAUCAACUAUUU
This is a small nuclear RNA of Otolemur garnettii (small-eared galago), 92 nucleotides long. The record is from Ensembl. Lineage: Eukaryota; Metazoa; Chordata; Mammalia; Primates; Galagidae.